AAUAUACUCCCUCCGUCCGGAAAUACUUGUCGUAGAAAUGGAUACACAUGGAUGUAUCUAGAACUAAAAUACAUCUAGAUACAUCCGUUCCUCGGACAAGUACGGAGGGAGUAGUUG
Molecule: non-coding RNA, 117 nt
Organism: Triticum aestivum (bread wheat)
Lineage: Eukaryota; Viridiplantae; Streptophyta; Magnoliopsida; Poales; Poaceae
Source: Rfam